Non-coding RNA from Cinara cedri, 579 nucleotides. Lineage: Eukaryota; Metazoa; Arthropoda; Insecta; Hemiptera; Aphididae. The record is from the annotation of a GenBank genome assembly.
GCUGUUGAGCUGUAUAUUUAAAUAUUUCCGUGUUCAAUAUGAACGAAUAAAUAAACAAUAAUAUUACAGGCGGGUACAUAAAAUCGGCGACGAACCAUCCGUUGGGUAUCAAUCUCUUAAUGACAGUCUCGGUGAAUUAGAAAUAAAAAAAAAAAAACGACGAGAAUCGAUUUGCGAAUAUCAAUAAUAUUACGUGAUAAUACGGCAACGUACGAUAAUAAUAUAUACAAGUUUGUACAAAAUUUCCAGCGCGUGGCCCGCUAUGGCAGUUUUGUAUCGUCGGCCAGAAAUUAAGCAAAAAUAUUACGUGCGAGUUUUUCGGUGUAGGUAACGAUCAGAAAAAAAUUAAAAAUAGUGAUAUAUAACAACCAGUAUAGGUCGUAGACAAUAUUAAUACAUCAUCGACUGCGUAUCUCUCACACCCCUGCCUUUUGGGUUACCUAUAGUAUACCAACAUCGCUAGAAAGAGUUAACCAGUGGCGACUUGAGAACCUUGUUUGAGGUGAGACGGAAUUUUAAAAAAUGUAUGAAAGGAAUGGGUUUUAUACCAGUGGCGUAAUUAAAACCAAUUGGUGGGGA